This 68-nucleotide transfer RNA is filed under the name Pachygrapsus marmoratus (marbled crab). RNAcentral describes it as "tRNA-Glu". Lineage: Eukaryota; Metazoa; Arthropoda; Malacostraca; Decapoda; Grapsidae. The record is from RNAcentral.
GUUUUUAUAGUGUAACAAACACGUUGCUUUUUCAUUGCAAAACUGAAGCAUUUAGACUUCUAAAAACU